This 253-nucleotide ribosomal RNA is filed under the name uncultured bacterium. RNAcentral's name for it is "partial 16S ribosomal RNA". It matches the Rfam family "Bacterial small subunit ribosomal RNA", at positions 524 to 776 of the family's 1533-position model. The record is from RNAcentral.
UACGGGGGGGGCAAGCGUUGUUCGGAAUUACUGGGCGUAAAGGGCUCGUAGGCUGCCAACUAAGUCGGACGUGAAAUCCCUCGGCUUAACCGGGGAACUGCGUCUGAUACUGGAUGGCUUGAGUUUGGGAGAGGGAUGCGGAAUUCCAGGUGUAGCGGUGAAAUGCGUAGAGAUCUGGAAGAACACCAAAGGCGAAGGCAGCAUCCUGGGAAGUAACUGACGCUCAUGUGCGAAAGCUAGGGGAGCGAACGGG